ACUCGAAUUUCACUUCAGCAUCUCCAUAUUGACAUGGAAUUUCCAUUUCAAUUGCAGCAGUCUGUGGAAGAAUCAUUGGUUCGCCGCCAGCCAGUAGAAAAUUGUUGUCUGAAUU
Non-coding RNA from Caenorhabditis elegans, 115 nucleotides. The record is from Ensembl. Lineage: Eukaryota; Metazoa; Nematoda; Chromadorea; Rhabditida; Rhabditidae.